UAUAUAGAAUUGAGCUUCCUAUGCUGUUAAAAGUACUAAGUUAUUAGUGCUUGUAAAUUUUUAGCCAUUGAAUUAAGAGAUAUGCGGUUAGAAUGAUGUGGACCCCCUAGCGUUGAGUGGGUGGUUGGUUGAAUAGUAUAAUCUAAUGGUUGAAAAUGAUCCGAGAAGUAGAUCUAACGGUAAAAAACUUACAAGCACCAAGUACUGGUACUUUUACAAGCACCAUAGCUGGACUCUAUAU
RNAcentral lists this long non-coding RNA (241 nucleotides) under Ananas comosus (pineapple). RNAcentral describes it as "long non-coding RNA (ACOM_LNC030316)". The record is from RNAcentral. Lineage: Eukaryota; Viridiplantae; Streptophyta; Magnoliopsida; Poales; Bromeliaceae.